Molecule: ribosomal RNA, 878 nt
Filed under: Pseudomonas sp. SXAU-SK-01
Lineage: Bacteria; Pseudomonadati; Pseudomonadota; Gammaproteobacteria; Pseudomonadales; Pseudomonadaceae
Description: bacterial SSU rRNA
Rfam family: Bacterial small subunit ribosomal RNA
Source: RNAcentral
GAGGCGGCUGCUACACAUGCAGUCGAGCGGAUGACAGGAGCUUGCUCCUGUGUUCAGUGGCGGACGGGUGAGUAAUGCCUAGGAAUCUGCCUGGUAGUGGGGGACAACGUUUCGAAAGGAACGCUAAUACCGCAUACGUCCUACGGGAGAAAGCGGGGGAUCUUCGGACCUUGCGCUAUCAGAUGAGCCUAUGUCGGAUUAGCUAGUUGGUGAGGUAAUGGCUCACCAAGGCGACGAUCCGUAACUGGUCUGAGAGGAUGAUCAGUCACACUGGAACUGAGACACGGUCCAGACUCCUACGGGAGGCAGCAGUGGGGAAUUUUGGACAAUGGGCGAAAGCCUGAUCCAGCCAUGCCGCGUGUGUGAAGAAGGUCUUCGGAUUGUAAAGCACUUUUGGUUGGAAGGAAGGGUUGUAGAUUAAUACUCUGCGAUUUUGACGUUACCGACAGAAUAAGCACCGGCUAACUCUGUGCCAGCAGCCGCGGUAAUACAUAGGGUGCAAGCGUUAAUCGGAAUUACUGGGCGUAAAGCGCGCGCAGGUGGUUUGUUAAGAUGGAUGUGAAAUCCCCGGGCUCAACCUGGGAACUGCAUCCAAGACUGGCAAGCUAUAGUAUGGUAAAGGGUGGUGGAAUUUCCUCGUGUACCUGUGAAUUGCGUAAAGUUGUGCAGAAAUACGAGAGGGGAACGGCACCCCCUGGGUGAAUCUUGACGCUGUGGCGGAAGCUCAUGAGGCCAACCAGGAUUAGUAUACCCUGUUAGUCACCGCUGUAAGCAAUGUCAUCUACUUUUGGGCCUCUGUCUGGAAUACGCCUAACGCGCUGAUUUGACCGCCUGAGAGUACGCCGCAAGUAAAUCUAAGGAAUGUAAACUGUAUAAAA